AAUAAAGUUUUCUUUAUUGGGGUUGCGGACAUAUCAUAACGAAGAGGUAUCGUAAUUGAAGAGGUUUGGAAAGACCCACCACAGAAGGUAAUAGUCCUGUAUGUUAAACGAGAAGACUUUAGAUAUGAUCCAGAGUACCACGGGACACGUGAAACCCUGUGGGAAGCAGGAGGGACCACCCUCCAAGGCUAAAUACUACCUAGUGACCGAUAGCGUAUAGUACCGUGAGGGAAAGGUGAAAAGAACCCCGGGAGGGGAGUGAAAUAGAACCUGAAACCCUGCACUUACAAGCUGUGGAAGCACAUUUCUUGUGUGACCGCGUACUUUUUGUAGAACGGGCCAACGAAUUACGGUAAGUAGCAAGGUUAAGCACUUAAGGUGCGGAGCCGUAGCGAAAGCGAGUAUUAACUGAGCGUUCAGUUACUGGACGUAGACCCGAAACCGGGCGACCUACCCAUGAGCAGGAUGAAGCGAAAGUAAAAUUUCGUGGAGGUCCGAACCCACGAGCGUUGAAAAGCUCGGGGAUGACUUGUGGGUAGCGGUGAAAUUCCAAUCGAGCCCGGAGAUAGCUGGUUCUCCCCGAAAUAGCUUUAGGGCUAGCAUCAAGGUGAGAGAUACGGAGGUAGAGCACUGAAUGUCCUAGGGGGUAUUGCACCUA
RNAcentral lists this ribosomal RNA (658 nucleotides) under Clostridioides difficile. RNAcentral describes it as "bacterial LSU rRNA". It matches the Rfam family "Bacterial large subunit ribosomal RNA", at positions 276 to 938 of the family's 2925-position model. The record is from RNAcentral. Lineage: Bacteria; Bacillati; Bacillota; Clostridia; Peptostreptococcales; Peptostreptococcaceae.